Molecule: ribosomal RNA, 469 nt
Filed under: uncultured bacterium
Lineage: Bacteria
Description: partial 16S ribosomal RNA
Rfam family: Bacterial small subunit ribosomal RNA
Source: RNAcentral
GACGAACGCUGGCGGCGUGCCUAACACAUGCAAGUCGAACGGAAAGGCCCUGCUUGCAGGGUGCUCGAGUGGCGAACGGGUGAGUAACACGUGGGUGAUCUGCCCCUUAUUUUGGGAUAAGCCUGGGAAACUGGGUCUAAUACUGGAUAGGACCAUGCUGUAGGUGGUGUGGUGGAAAGAUUAGUUUCGGUAAGGGAUGAGCUCGCGGCCUAUCAGCUUGUUGGUGGGGUAAUGGCCUACCAAGGCGUCGACGGGUAGCCGGCCUGAGAGGGUGGACGGCCACAUUGGGACUGAGAUACGGCCCAGACUCCUACGGGAGGCAGCAGUGGGGAAUAUUGCACAAUGGGCGCAAGCCUGAUGCAGCGACGCCGCGUGGGGGAUGACGGCCUUCGGGUUGUAAACUCCUUUCAGCCAUGACGAAGCCCUUGUGGUGACGGUAGUGGUAGAAGAAGCACCGGCUAACUACGUG